AGUGAACGCUGGCGGUAGGCCUAACACAUGCAAGUCGAACGGCAGCACAGUAAGAGCUUGCUCUUACGGGUGGCGAGUGGCGGACGGGUGAGGAAUACAUCGGAAUCUACUUUUUCGUGGGGGAUAACGUAGGGAAACUUACGCUAAUACCGCAUACGACCUACGGGUGAAAGCAGGGGAUCUUCGGACCUUGCGCGAUUGAAUGAGCCGAUGUCGGAUUAGCUAGUUGGCGGGGUAAAGGCCCACCAAGGCGACGAUCCGUAGCUGGUCUGAGAGGAUGAUCAGCCACACUGGAACUGAGACACGGUCCAGACUCCUACGGGAGGCAGCAGUGGGGAAUAUUGGACAAUGGGCGCAAGCCUGAUCCAGCCAUACCGCGUGGGUGAAGAAGGCCUUCGGGUUGUAAAGCCCUUUUAUUGGGAAAGAAAAGCAGCAGGUUAAUACCCCGCUGCUCUGACGGUACCCAAAGAAUAAGCACCGGCUAACUUCGUG
RNAcentral lists this ribosomal RNA (492 nucleotides) under uncultured bacterium. RNAcentral describes it as "partial 16S ribosomal RNA". It matches the Rfam family "Bacterial small subunit ribosomal RNA", at positions 29 to 507 of the family's 1533-position model. The record is from RNAcentral.